CACCGGCUAACUCCGUGCCAGCAGCCGCGGUAAUACGGAGGGUGCGAGCGUUAAUCGGAAUUACUGGGCGUAAAGGGUGCGUAGGUGGUUGAUUAAGUUAUCUGUGAAAUUCCUGGGCUUAACCUGGGACGGUCAGAUAAUACUGGUUGACUCGAGUAUGGGAGAGGGUAGUGGAAUUUCCGGUGUAGCGGUGAAAUGCGUAGAGAUCGGAAGGAACACCAGUGGCGAAGGCGGCUACCUGGCCUAAUACUGACACUGAGGCACGAAAGCGUGGGGAGCAAACAGGAUUAGAUACCCUGGUAGUCCACGCUGUAAA
RNAcentral lists this ribosomal RNA (316 nucleotides) under uncultured Legionella sp. RNAcentral describes it as "bacterial SSU rRNA". It matches the Rfam family "Bacterial small subunit ribosomal RNA", at positions 491 to 806 of the family's 1533-position model. Lineage: Bacteria; Pseudomonadati; Pseudomonadota; Gammaproteobacteria; Legionellales; Legionellaceae. The record is from RNAcentral.